CUAGUUAAUCCAACCAGUAGCCAUAUGCUUAUCUCAAAGAUUAAGCCAUGCAUGUGAAAGUAUGAACCAUUUUAGACUGUGGAAUUGCAAAUGGCUCAUUAAAUUAGUUAUAGUUUGUUUGAUGGUAUCUGCAACUCAAAUAACCAUAGUAAUUCUAGAGCUAAUACAUGCAACAUACCCUGACUUCUAGAAAGGAUGCAUUUAUUAGAUAAAAGGUCAAUACAGGUUUUGCUCAUUGCUCUGAUGAUUCUUGAUAAUUUGACGAAGUGCACAACUUUUGUGUUAGCAAUGCAUCAUUGAAAUUUAUGCCCUAUCAACUUUCAAUUGUAAGAUAAUGGCCUAUUGUAGUGGUGACGGAGAAUUAGGGUUCAAUUUCGAAGAGGGAGCUUGAGAAAUAAAUACCAAAUCCAAGGAAGACAACAAGCACGCAAAUUACCCAAUCUUGACACUAGGAGGUAAUGACAAUAAAUAACAAUAUCGGGCUUUAUGAGUUUGGUAAUUGAAAUAAGUACAGUCUAAAUCCCUUAGCGAAGAUUGAUUGGAGGGCAAGUCUAGUGCUAGUAACUGCAGUAAUUCUAGCUCCAAUAGUGUAUAUUUAAGUUGAUGCUGUUAAAAAGCUAGUAGUUAGACAUUGGGUUAAGGAGAUCAAUCUGCAUCAUAGUGAGCAUGCAGAUCAGUCUACCUUACAGUGAGCAUUGAUUAGAUUCUCUUUACUGUCGAUGAUGCAUUCCUGGCCUUAACUGGUUAGGUUGUUCCUCUGGUGUUGUUACUUUGAAGAGAUUGGAGUGCUUAAAGUAGACCUACGCUUGCAUACAUUAGCUAAAGAUUGGAGUAAUGAUUAACAAAGAUAGUAAGGGGAUUCCUAUUUCAUAGUCAGUGGUGAAAUUCUUGGAUUUAUGAAAAAUGAGCAACUACGAAGUAUUUGCCAAGGAUGUUUUCAUUAAUCAAGAAUGAAAGUUGGGGACUUGAAGAUGAUUAGAUACUGUUUUAAUCUUAAACAUAAAUAAUGCUAACUAGGGAUUUGCGGAUGUUGCUAUUAAGACUCCAUCAGCACUUUAUGAGAAAUCAAAGUCUUUAGGUUCUG
RNAcentral lists this non-coding RNA (1084 nucleotides) under Theobroma cacao (cacao). RNAcentral describes it as "Eukaryotic small subunit ribosomal RNA". It matches the Rfam family "Eukaryotic small subunit ribosomal RNA", at positions 4 to 1116 of the family's 1831-position model. Lineage: Eukaryota; Viridiplantae; Streptophyta; Magnoliopsida; Malvales; Malvaceae. The record is from Rfam by way of RNAcentral.